Molecule: ribosomal RNA, 806 nt
Filed under: uncultured bacterium
Lineage: Bacteria
Description: bacterial SSU rRNA
Rfam family: Bacterial small subunit ribosomal RNA
Source: RNAcentral
AGUCGAACGAGGGUCCUUCGGGACUCGAGUGGCGAACGGGUGAGUAACACGUAGGGAACCUGCCCGUGCGACCGGGAGAACUUUCGGAAACGGAAGCUGAUACCGGAUAGGGACAGAGACGGCAUCGACUCUGUGUUAAAGGAGCUGAAAGGCUCCGCGCACGGAUGGACCUGCGGUGCAUUAGCUGGUUGGUGAGGUAACGGCCCACCAAGGCGACGAUGCAUAGCCGGCCUGAGAGGGCGGACGGCCACACUGGGACUGAGACACGGCCCAGACUCCUACGGGAGGCAGCAGUAGGGAAUUUUCGUCAAUGGGCGCAAGCCUGAACGAGCAAUGCCGCGUGAACGAGGAAGGUCUUCGGAUCGUAAAGUUCUGUUGAAGGGGAAAAAGAGCGGAGAGAGGAAAUGGUCUCCGAUUGAUAUUACCCUUCGAGGAAGUCACGGCUAACUACGUGCCAGCAGCCGCGGUAAUACGUAGGUGGCGAGCGUUAUCCGGAAUGAUUGGGCGUAAAGGGUGCGUAGGCGGCCUGCUAAGUCUGGAGUGAAAGGUACCGGCUCAACCGGUAUAGGCUCUGGAAACUGGCGGGCUAGAGAGCAGGAGAGGGCGGUGGAACUCCACGUGUAGCGGUAAAAUGCGUAGAUAUAUGGAAGAACACCAGUGGCGAAGGCGGCCGCCUGGCCUGUUACUGACGCUGAGGCACGAAAGCGUGGGGAGCAAAUAGGAUUAGAUACCCUAGUAGUCCACGCCGUANACGAUGAGGACCAAGUGUUGGGGAANACCCAGUGCUGCAGUUAACGCAGUGAGUC